GGGGAUGUCUCUCAGUGGUAGAGAGCUUGCCUGGCACCUGCAAGGCCUUGGGUUCAAUUAAUCCCGUCCCCA
RNAcentral lists this transfer RNA (72 nucleotides) under Ictidomys tridecemlineatus (thirteen-lined ground squirrel). RNAcentral describes it as "Spermophilus tridecemlineatus (thirteen-lined ground squirrel) tRNA". It matches the Rfam family "tRNA". From Rfam's summary of the family: Transfer RNA (tRNA) molecules are approximately 80 nucleotides in length. Their secondary structure includes four short double-helical elements and three loops (D, anti-codon, and T loops). Further hydrogen bonds mediate the characteristic L-shaped molecular structure. tRNAs have two regions of fundamental functional importance: the anti-codon, which is responsible for specific mRNA codon recognition, and the 3' end, to which the tRNAs corresponding amino acid is attached (by aminoacyl-tRNA synthetases). tRNAs cope with the degeneracy of the genetic code in two manners: having more than one tRNA (with a specific anti-codon) for a particular amino acid; and 'wobble' base-pairing, i.e. permitting non-standard base-pairing at the 3rd anti-codon position. Lineage: Eukaryota; Metazoa; Chordata; Mammalia; Rodentia; Sciuridae. The record is from Rfam by way of RNAcentral.